This is a long non-coding RNA of Uranotaenia lowii, 3154 nucleotides long. RefSeq lists it as uncharacterized. The record is from RefSeq and is a predicted model, not a curated record. The transcript has 5 exons. Lineage: Eukaryota; Metazoa; Arthropoda; Insecta; Diptera; Culicidae.
AUUGAGGUAAUAAAAUUUUGAACAUGUAUAAUGAAAUGAUACUUGGAAGAUAUUUCAUACUGGUACUGCUACCAAUAUAUUAAGUUAAUAGUUAGUACUAUAUCCCUAACUGUUUUUAAUUAUGCGGGUUUGCAGUACAAUUUUUCAACAGUCUCCGGAUUCAACGUGAAGACUUAACUGCUGCAACCAUUAACGCAUAAGGUAAGUUUUAUUCAUUAACAUUCAUCCUAUUUAAAGACAUUGAACUUUAAAAAUCAAAACUCUGCAGGAACCGCAUUUUCUUCGGAAUUUAUCGUCUCGUCCUUCGUCGUCAAGGAUAAGUUGAUUGAUGCUCCUUUUUUAAGGCGGAACGCCGAAAAGCUACGAAAAAAUCCAAAAAACGCUCAUCCGGAUGGAACAGCGACCAAACGUAAGUUUGACAAAACCAAACCGGCCUAGGAAGAAUCUUCCGGAAAGGCUGCUCGCCGGGAGCUGGAAAAAUCUUAAAAAUAAAACGACAGCGAUGAGGAAGAGGGGCAAACCUUUGAGGCCGCUGGAAGAAAUUUCAACUUCGAUGAUGAGAACGAUUCGGGAUUGGCCGGAACGGCCCAGAUCAAGGCGCUUCGGCUAAGAAGUAUUUGAGGGAGGUAGAGGAAUACGCUGUUCGAUUGGCUGGUUACAUCCGCCAGUAAAAUCAAUCAAAAAUGAAAAAAAAACGCCAUUCCUAAAAGUUCAGAGCAGAACCGGAAAACAAAGUUUUGCUUUACUGGAAAGCCAAUCGGGACCAGAGAAACCAGAGUGUUGAACAAACAAGAAAUACAAUAUUAAAAAAAUGAAACAUUGUUUUUUUUUCUAAGUUUUUAUCUACAAUUUUGAAAAUUUCCACAUUUGCUAUUCUGCUUUCCGAAUUACGAUUCAAAAAUAACCAUUUUUCUACCUCUAGGUUGCUGUCUCUUACGAUUGAAAAAUAACCAUAUUUGAACUUCUCCCCUAGAAGUCAUUUUAUGGCUUCUCAUGGAGAACUCAUAAAAUGACAUUUCCCGGGAAAAGGUCAAAAAUGGUUAUUUUUGAAUCGUAAAUGGUUUAAUAGUUUCUAGCGUGUUGGACGCGAAAACCACAAUGGUGGUGGAAUCAAAAAACACCAGCUUAUUUAAGUUUUGUUUAAGUUUCUCAUAUAAACGUUUUGAAUCGUUUCUUUAGUGAAGGUGAAUAUUUAUAAAAAAAAACGAACGGCGGAUGCACUUUAUGCACUUUGCUUCAACUAGGUUAUGCAACUACCAAGAAGCGAGAUUAUUGGUGUCUGCAAGACCCAGCUGGCAUGGCCGGAGCCAACGAAUCUGCUGGGGAAAAUCUUAAAAUGCAACUAUCGAGACUGCAACAACGGUACCAAGUUCACUGUAACAACAGCAGCAGGAAAAACAACAGAUGUUUCCAGAAAGGCAACUUGGAAAGGCUCGAGCCAGAAAUUGGUGGUCACGAAUAAAUAGGAAAUCCGGAACAACAAGGGCUUGGUGGCUAGGAGCAGGAGUUACUCAAACAAAAUCGCAAGGCUGGGGCGUACCGGAAAAGUUGGAUAGAUUUUUGCUUUCGCGUAAAAAAAGAUGCCAAUCAACCAGUACCGGAACCAGCACCGCCUGAAACAAGUGUGUGAUGUCUACUGCGGAAUUCUUCCUGCUUACCAAUAGCUUUAUUAAGCCGUGCAUGAUUCUAACCAAUCAACUGAACCACUUUGAAGAGCUUUUGUAAAGCCAACAAUAUUCCCAAGCGAAACAACAAAAGUGAUCGAAACAAAGAAUUUAAACUUGUUAGCAUUUAAGAGAGCUGUUAUUUUUAUAUACUACGAAUGUACAAUUAAAACAUUUUAUUAACGGCACCACACAAUAUGAAUUUAUGGGUUUGGUCAAGAUUGUCGUCUUUCCUACUGUAUAGAGAUCAAAGGGAUUCUGGCCUGGCGCAUUGCUUAAUAGUUACUUACAUCUUUUAAAGAGUGCUAUUGCUUAUUUAUUUCAUCUACCAUCAUGAUUUUGGUUCUGUUUAAAUAACAAUAAAAAACUGCGAGUCUUUCACCAAACCAUCUCCUAGUCGUAUGGAAAGAUACGUUCCGUCAUAAAACAAACAAUAAAAAAAACUUAUUUUAGGAAGAUUAGUAUGAUAUUUUUGAAGAAUUCAGGCAUUCCAAUUAAAUUUAUUAAACCUUUCCAAUUUCCGAGAUUUCAAAGUCUUGCGAUUAUAACAUUCAUGAGCUUGAAAUAGAUUACAGGAAUACUAAUAGAGUACUCUCCAAUGGAUCCGUAAGCCAAGGAAUUUAUUUUUGUCAAGGGUUUUAAAUCAGUCUUAUAUGUAUCUAUAUUCAUUUUGAGUAGGCUAAGUAGAUAACAUUUUUUAAUGCUGGUUAAAGCAAAAUUCUGUAUAUUUGGCUAUGAGCAGUGAAAAUUUGAGGAAAAAUUCAGCCGUGGUCGCUAAUUCUCAGUAAAUAUCAUGUUCUUGGAAUCAUUAAAAAGUCGCUUCAUUCGACUGAUUUGCGUGUCUUUAUGCUGAACUGGCAUUUAGGCGAAUGGGAGUUUAGGCUCAUUCAGCAAUCUGAUGAAUAUUCAUUUCCCGUAAUUCUGUAUAAACACCCUCAACAAAUUGCAAAAUUAUUUCCUCACCAUUCGUUAUGAAGCUCCACGACAGAAUGGCAAAACAUUUUAAGCCGAAUGUGCCGCAUCAGCAUAAGUAUAUAAUGAACAUUUAGAAAAUAAAACAGGGAUAUUUGGGGUUUUGAGGCAUUAAUGAAUGUGUUUUAGAUGUUAGGACCGCCAUUUAACUUACUGACCAGAUCAAUUCUUCCAAAUCAUAUUCGAAUGUUAUUUUAAAAUUACGAUAUACUUUUAUUGAAUCAUUAUCAUUUCGUUCGACACGAAUGCCAUCGUUAAUAAAACUUUAAAAAAAAAUAUCAUUUCGUAUAAACCAUUGCCAAUUGAAUCGAAGUCGGUAAAACAGUAACUACAUAGUGCUUUAAUGUCAACAUUGAUGUACACAUACAUACACUUAAGACAAGAUGCAUAUUACGGUUGAAUGAAAAAAAAAACUACGAUGCUAGGCGUAUGAGUUUUAAAAUGUAUAGAUAUGUUUAUUUAUGUUAACAACGAAUCGACUACGCUACGAAUACGGUAACGAAUUUUACCUUGCAUUU